GGAUUCCCCUAGUAACUGCGAGUGAAGCGGGAAAAGCUCAAAUUUAAAAUCUGGCGGUCUCUGGCCGUCCGAGUUGUAAUCUAGAGAAGURAUGCCCGUGCUGGACCGUGUAUAAGUCUCCUGGGAUGGGGCGUCAUAGAGGGUGAGAAUCCCGUCUUUGACACGGACUACCAGKGCAUUGUGGUAUGCUCUCAAAGAGUCGAGUUGUUUGGGAAUGCAGCUCAAAAUGGGUGGUAAAUUCCAUCUAAAGCUAAAUAUUGGCGAGAGACCGAUAGCGAACAAGUACCGUGAGGGAAAGAUGAAAAGAACUUUGGAAAGAGAGUUAAACAGUACGUGAAAUUGCUGAAAGGGAAACGCUUGAAGUCAGUCGCGUUGGCCGGGGAUCAGCCUUGCUUUUGCAUGGUGUACUUUCUGGUUGAYGGGUCAGCAUCAAUUUUGACCGCUGGAAAAAGACCUGGGGAAUGUGGCAGCUUCGGCUGUGUUAUAGCCCCUAGUCGCAUACAGUGGUUGGGAUUGAGGAACUCAGCACGCCGCAAGGCCGGGUUUCGACCACGUUCGUGCUUAGGAUGCUGGCAUAAUGGCUUUAAGCGACCCGUCUUGAAACACGGACCAAGGAGUCUAACAUGCCUGCGAGUAUUUGGGUGGAAAACCCAAGUGCGUAAUGAAAGUGAAAGUUGAGAUCCCUGUCGUGGGGAGCAUCGACGCCCGGACCAGAACUUUUGGGACGGAUCCGCGGUGGAGCAUGUAUGUUGGGACCCGAAAGAUGGUGAACUAUGCCUGAAUAGGGUGAAGCCAGAGGAAACUCUGGUGGAGGCUCGUAGCGAUUCUGACGUGCAAAUCGAUCGUCAAAUUUGGGUAUAGGGGCGAAA
Molecule: ribosomal RNA, 869 nt
Filed under: Agaricus augustus
Lineage: Eukaryota; Fungi; Basidiomycota; Agaricomycetes; Agaricales; Agaricaceae
Description: eukaryotic LSU rRNA
Rfam family: Eukaryotic large subunit ribosomal RNA
Source: RNAcentral